GACGAACGCUGGCGGCGUGCCUAAUACAUGCAAGUAGAACGCUGAAGAGAGGAGCUUGCUCUUCUUGGAUGAGUUGCGGACGGGUGAGUAACGCGUAGGUAACCUGCCUGGUAGCGGGGGAUAACUAUUGGAAACGAUAGCUAAUACCGCAUAAUAUUGAUUAUUGCAUGAUAAUUAAUUGAAAGAUGCAAUUGCAUCACUAUCAGAUGGACCUGCGUCGUAUUAGCUAGUUGGUGAGGUAAAGGCUUACCAAGGCGACGAUACAGAACCGAACUUGGGAGGGGGUCGGCCACACUGGGACUGGGGCACCGCCCAGGCUCCUACCGGGAGGAGCAGGAAGGGAAUUUCCGGAAUGGGGCGAACCCUUACCGGGGAACGGCGCGGGGGUGGAGAAGGUUUUCCGGUCGUAAAGCUCUGUUGUUAGGGAAGAACGGGUUUGGGAGUGGAAUAUGCACGCUGUGACGGUAUCUUACCAGAAAGGGACGGCUAACUACGUG
This 497-nucleotide ribosomal RNA is filed under the name uncultured bacterium. Its description in RNAcentral is "partial 16S ribosomal RNA". It matches the Rfam family "Bacterial small subunit ribosomal RNA", at positions 28 to 507 of the family's 1533-position model. The record is from RNAcentral.